CAGCCGCCGCGGGAAGACGUAGGAUGCAAGCGUUGUCCGGAUUUAUUGGGCGUAAAGAGUUCGUAGGCGGUUUGUUAAGUCUGAUGUUAAAGAUCGGGGCUCAACCCUGGGAGUGCAUUGGAUACUGGCAGACUGGAGUGUGGUAGAGGCUAGUGGAAUUCCUAGUGUAGCGGUGAAAUGCGUAGAUAUUAGGAAGAACACCAGUGGCGUAGGCGACUAGCUGGGCCAUAACUGACGCUGAGGAACGAAAGCCAGGGGAGCAAACAGGAUUAGAUACCCCUGUAGUCCCUGUCUCUUAUAC
Molecule: ribosomal RNA, 301 nt
Filed under: uncultured bacterium
Lineage: Bacteria
Description: partial 16S ribosomal RNA
Rfam family: Bacterial small subunit ribosomal RNA
Source: RNAcentral